This is a non-coding RNA of Aulographum hederae CBS 113979, 72 nucleotides long. The record is from the annotation of a GenBank genome assembly. Lineage: Eukaryota; Fungi; Ascomycota; Dothideomycetes; Aulographales; Aulographaceae.
AGCUGAAUGGCGCAGCGGAAGCGCGCCGGGCUCAUAACCCGGAGGGCAGCGGAUCGAAACCGCUUUCAGCUA